RNAcentral lists this ribosomal RNA (393 nucleotides) under uncultured bacterium. RNAcentral describes it as "partial 16S ribosomal RNA". It matches the Rfam family "Bacterial small subunit ribosomal RNA", at positions 523 to 918 of the family's 1533-position model. The record is from RNAcentral.
AUACGGAGGAUCCGAGCGUUAUCCGGAUUUAUUGGGUUUAAAGGGAGCGUAGGCGGACGCUUAAGUCAGUUGUGAAAGUUUGCGGCUCAACCGUAAAAUUGCAGUUGAUACUGGGUGUCUUGAGUACAGUAGAGGCAGGCGGAAUUCGUGGUGUAGCGGGGAAAUGCUUAGAUAUCACGAAGAACUCCGAUUGCGAAGGCAGCUUACUGGACUGUAACUGACGCUGAUGCUCGAAAGUGUGGGUAUCAAACAGGAUUAGAUACCCUGGUAGUCCGCACAGUAAACGAUGAAUACUCGCUGUUUGCGAUACACUGUAAGCGGCCAAGCGAAAGCGUUAAGUAUUCCACCUGGGGAGUACGCCGGCAACGGUGAAACUCAAAUGAAUUGGCGGGG